GACGAACGCUGGCGGCGUGCUUAACACAUGCAAGUCGAGCGGUAAGGCCCUUCGGGGUACGCGAGCGGCGAACGGGAGCGUAACACGUGGGUGAUAUGCACUGCACUUCGGGUUAAGCCUGGGAAACUGGGUCUAAUACCGGAAAUGACCUCCUAUCGCAUGGUGGGUGGUGGGAAGAUUUAUCGGUGCAGGAUGGGCCCGCGGCCUAUCAGCUUGUUGGUGGGGUAAUGGCCUACCAAGGCGACGACGGGUAGCCGACCUGAGAGGGUGACCGGCCACACUGGGACUGAGACACGGCCCAGACUCCUACGGGAGGCAGCAGUGGGGAAUAUUGCACAAUGGGCGAAAGCCUGAUGCAGCGACGCCGUGUGAGGGAUGACGGCCUUCGGGUUGUAAACCUCUUUCAGCAGGGACGAAGCGUGAGUGACGGUAACGGCAGAAGAAGCACCGGCUAACUACGUG
RNAcentral lists this ribosomal RNA (462 nucleotides) under uncultured bacterium. RNAcentral describes it as "partial 16S ribosomal RNA". It matches the Rfam family "Bacterial small subunit ribosomal RNA", at positions 28 to 507 of the family's 1533-position model. The record is from RNAcentral.